This 20780-nucleotide long non-coding RNA is filed under the name Ananas comosus (pineapple). RNAcentral's name for it is "long non-coding RNA (ACOM_LNC031955)". The record is from RNAcentral. Lineage: Eukaryota; Viridiplantae; Streptophyta; Magnoliopsida; Poales; Bromeliaceae.
AAAUUGGUGCAUUAAAUUAAAAGGGUAAAUUUCAAAUACCAUUCAGAUGCUUUUAUACUUUCUCACUUUAAUAUUCUUGAUUUAAAAUGUAUCAAUUUAGUAUUUUAGAGUUUUAUUUUUAUUUUUUUAUUAUUAAUUUUAUUAUUUUUUUAUUAAAUCAGUGACAAAAUUAAAACUAAAGAGUACGAAAGUGAAUAUUCGAUAAACCUGGGUGGGGUAUCUGAAGUUUUUUUUAUAAAAUUUAACAAACUAUUAAUGAAAAAGUUAACGAAAAGAUUAAAAUAAAAUCACAGAACACUAAUCUGAUAUAUUUUAAACCACAAAGUACUAAAGUGAGAAGUGGAAAACUACCGGAGUUGUUUUUGAAGUUUAUCCUAAAUUAAACUAGCGUAGACUCCCGCAGAAUGCGAUGGAUAAAAAUUUACAAAAAAAAAAAAAAAAAAAAACUAUAAGAUGUGCAUAAAAAAAAUUACCAUUUACCAAUGCAAAAUUAUUUUUUUUUUAUCAUUUACCAAUUCAAAAACAAAAAAGAAGAGGAGAUGAAGUGAGAUUUAUAUAUAGUGAAAAAAUUAAUAUUAAUAUCUCAACUAAUAAAGAAUGACAAUUUUAUAAAUUUCAAGAGUUUAGAGAGCCAAACAAAAUAAUUAAAACUUUAGAGAGACUACAAAAAUUUCUCUCUAAAUUAAAUUUUUAUAAAAUAUUUUAAAAGGUUAUGAUAGCUUUCUACUUAAAUUAUCCUUGUAAAAUACAAAAAGUAUGUAAUUAAAAUUUUGAUUAUCAAAAACCUAUUCAAAGUUAAGUGUUUUUUUUAUCUAAUAAAAUUUUAUUUGUAAAAAUCAAUAAUUCAUAUGGAAGAAAAUUUACAAAUGAACAUAUUUAUAAAAAGCCAGUUAUAAAAUAGAGGGGCACUUUUUGAACUUAUUUUUUUAGGGAACUCUAAUAACUCUAUUUUUGCAGUGUUUCUCACUUUUUUUUAUUAGAUUUUAAAAUUCUUUUAAGUAUUUUUUAUUUUUACUUUGUAAAAUUGCUUUGAAAAAAUAUAAUAUAACAUGCACUAAAGAAUAUAGUAUAAAAAUAGAGUUUUUUUUUGUGCACUUACAUUUGUUUUUAUCCUUCUGUAGGAAUUAACCUAAAAAAAUCAAUAAUAAAUUAGAGAGAAAUAAUUUAAAAGUUAAAAUAAAUACUUUAUAAUUGAACUCAUAAGAUAAAAUUAGUAGAGAACAAAAAUCAAAAGAAAAAAAUAACAAUUGCUUUACUAAUUAACAAUAGAAACUGCUGAAUUAAAAGUAGAAAAUAAAAAAAAAAAAGAAAAUGCAGUUUGAGAGAGAAAGAGAAAGUAUUUAUUUUAACUUUUAAAUUACAGGAUUAAAAAAUUUUAGGAAUUAUGAGAUAAGAUGCAAUAAUUUUAAGAAGGUGAGAGAUCUCAUAAAUAAGAGUUAUUAAAUAAGGUGUAGCAUUAAAUUAAAUUAAAAAUUUGUUAGGAAGAAUUUAAUGAGAAAAGAUUUUGUAAUUUGAAAAGGCAUGUUAACUUUAUAAGAAAAAAAUAUGGUAAUUUAGUGAGUAAUUGCCAACCCAUUGAACUUCUAAAGUUAAUUUAUAAAUAAAAAAUAACUAAUUAGGAAGAAUUUAAUGAGAAAAGAUUCUAUAAUUUGAAAAGGCGUGAUAACUUUAUAAGAAAAAAUAUGGUAAUUUAGUGAGUAAUUGCCAACCCAUUGAACUUUCAAAAUUAAUUUAUAGAAGAUAAUUAUUAACCAUUUGAGGAGUUCAAUAGUCUUGUACAUUGUAAUUAUAAUACUAUAUUAAAUAGUAACUUUUGCUUAAGAAAUAUUAAUUAGAGAGAUAGUAGAUAGACCCCAAAAAAAAUUCAAGAAAAAUAAGGUUAGAAAAAAAAAAUCAAAAAAUUGAGGUUACGCCACGUCACCUCUUGAUAUUGGGGAUUAAUAGAGAGGUAUAGAUAGAUAGAUAAAUUAAAUUAAAAAUUAAUUAGGAAGAAUUUAAUGAGAAAAGAUUCUAUAAUUUGAAAAGGCAUGUUAACUUUACAAGAAAAUUUAUGAUAAUUUAGUGAGUAAUUGUCAACCCAUUGAACUUCCAAAAUUAAUUUAGUGACCAUUUGAGAAGUUCAAGUACAUUGAGGUUAUGCUACGUUACCUCUAGAUAUUGGGGAUUAAUAGAGAGUUAUAAGAUUAUUAUUAUAUAAUUUCUCGCAUUUCAGAUAAUUAGAUCUGGAACGGGCUAAAUUUCGGGCCAGAUCCACGUCUGAACCAAAUUGACCGGGUCGGACUUUUUUUAUUAAGUUUAUAAUAUGUAGAUUAAGAUUUGUCAAGUUGGUAACUUAUCUAAAUUUCAAUUUUGUUUUUCAAACCUUAAUUUAUUAUAAUUUUUUGCUCGAAUUUUCUAAAUUAUUGGUAUGAUACUAUUGUGGUUAACGACGUGAUAACAACUACAAUGUCAGAUCAAAUUUUACGAGGAACUCAAUUACAACAUUUCAAAAAGUUGAGCCAAGAAAUUACAACAAUUUAAAGUUUGAGAGCCCAAUGUGUAAUCUAGCAUUUAUCAUUCAAUGUUAAACAUCGCUGGAAACCCAACCCUUUCACUGAGAAGCACUAUAAAACUAAACAAUACAUUUGAAUUUACAAUGCAAGUUUGAAAGGCUUGGAACUAAACAAUUUAUCCAAAACAUUUUGUAAUACAAAGCAGUAUUGUGAAAAUGAACAACAAAGGACAAACUUUGGCAUAAGAGAAUCACUCUAUUGCCUAUUGCCCUAUUUUCGCGACCUCAACCAACUCAGAAGCCACAUUUCCUUUCGUGAAAAUAUCACCAAUUAUACGCCGAUCGGUCGAUGAUGAUGCAUACCAAGCUAUAGUUUCUCAACUCCUCCAAGCAGAAGAGAACUCCAAAUCAGUGUCCUCUUCCCACCAUGUAGCAUUCUGCAUUUAUCGAUACACAUUCUACAAUUUAAUGGCUAAAGAAGAAUGUAUAAAUUAAUAUGCACGGCGUGCUUCAGAGAAUUAUAGUGGUAUCAGUACAAAUUAAAGUUGUUAACCGAGUACUAGUCAUUACACAAAAAGGGGUUACUACAGUUGACUUGCAUCAUUAAGGGUAAAUUGCACGAGCAAUCCGAGAACCGACCUGAUAUUGCAACUUGGCCCUUGCAAUUUUCAUUUAAAUACAUUAGUAAUGGAAGUGGAAAAAUGGAAACUUUUAAUAGAGAAUUGCCAUUCAGGGACUAAAGUGCAAUAUAUAUGAAAGUCCAGGUCCUAAGGCGAUAUGAUACACUAAGCUGACUCUUAACUCUACAAACCAAGUUAAAUUGAUGAUACAAGACGCAAUAUGUUUAUCAUUCAACUCAAACAAGGAGAGAAAGAUUUAUGAGAAGUUUUGAACCUUGUAUCCCCUUCUGAGAAAUUCCAAUGAGCUCCCUCGUUCUUCUUGCAAUCCCAGAACCCUUAAAAGUUCUUCUUUAGUCUAAACAGGGGGAAAAAAAAAAAAUCAGUACAAGAACAUUAGAUUGGUUUAUAUGAUUCAAGUAAAUUAUUACCUCUCCCAAUGUAAAUCUAGCUGCGCUUUCUGCAACACAAGCAUAGGAACCAUCAGCCUGUUUAAGCAUGACUUGCCAAGGCCCUGCACAGUACAGUUAUAAAAUGAAUGUAUGUAUAUAUUAAUUUGUCAUUUAUUUGUUGAGGAAGUUGCAAGUCAUAGGAAAAUAAGAAAGCAUGCCUCAGAGAGAGAGAGAGAGAGAGAGAGAGAGAGAGAUUAAAAUUUUAACAAAAAAACCUCAUGAACUAAGUAUACUUAUGUAGUUUGAAAACUUCCCACGCCAUUUAAUUGAUGUAGACCAAUUCUUAAGAAGAAAAUUACGUCCUAGAAUAAUUGUUUGCAAAACCGAAGGUUCUGGUCAACACCGAGUUUGGAGUAGAUACAAUUACGUCCUAGUAUAAUUGUUUGCAAAACCCAAGGUUCUGGUCAACACUGAGUUUGGAGUAGAUACAUCACACGUUUACACCCAAGGACACAAUCAUUUGCUUUACUAUUUUAUAAGGAAAGCAAUAGAGUUUGGUGUCUAUCGAAGGACUAUUAUAAUAAAAUAUUUCAGGAAGAGAAAUUUAGAGACUAAAAUUAACCACGCAGAAGCACUUGCAUGAUAAUAAGGAGAUUAUACUGUAUGCUAUGCAUGUCAAGUUCUUACCUGGGAACCGACGGAAUAGAGCACCACUAUAGUUCACAAUGAAGGGUGCUACUGGAACUGUCUUAAACACAAGGAAAAUAAAGAUUUAAUUGACAUUAUGAUAAGAAUAAGUAAAUAAAAAAAAGCUAGAGAUACCUUGGAGUACUCUCUUGUUCGAAUGUAGAAUACAGGGAUAAACUGAGAAAGAAAGCGGUAAUGCAAAUCUUUGGUGGGAAAUCCUAGUAGGCCCAAGUCAGAGCUGCAAAAUUGAAUUUUUAUCCCCACAAUAAGGUCAGAAUCAUGAAAAUACGAAGCACAUUGUGACAAUUUGGUCAGGAAGAAUAAAUAAGACAAACCGUAAGGUGUCUAGUUCGAGGUUAAAAAGAAGAGCUGGGACAGAUGAAGCAAAAUUGUCCUGCACAAGAAAAGGCCAACAAAAAUUGCUUUAGUAACAGAAAUUAAAUUUUUAAAGAACAGAAUUACAAGAACAUUAACUAAUCUUUCUAUGCCCAAGAAAAUACUCCCUCAGAAGUACCUUUCUCUUCUCUCUCUCGUUUUUUUUUUCUUUUUUUUUUUGGUNGGGGGGGGCGGGGUUGGGGGUUGGCGGGGGGAAUCAACUACCCUUAGCGGAUACAAAGAUUUCAGACGCGCUGCUUAACUGUAGUUGUGUUAAAAGAGACCGAAGCAACUAUUUUUAAGGAUCCUUUUGUCCACAAACAUGAAUUUUCAUGCAAACCAUAAUAUGACAACAUCCACAUGUACUAUAAAGUAGCUUCUUCAACAUGUUUCAAUUCUUGUCCAUAUUAUGGUCUAAGAAUUGCAAUGAUGACAGCACAAGAGAAGAUUGUAUUGUAUGCAAUAAUUUUCCACACAUAAAUACAUAAUAGAAAAGUUUUACUCACUUCUAGGAACCUACCACAUACUUCUCUAUAGUAGAAAGAUCGCGUGUACUACAAUUGAUGAAGAUAUACAAUGAUGGUGGUUCAUCAGACUUCCAACGAUCUGCAUUUAUUAAGUAUGGAUAAAUCUUAAUUAGUCUAGUCACACCUAGCAAAAGGUCUCAGAUCCUAAUUCUUAACUUUGUUAUUCUUGCUAAAUAUCUUUUUUAGUAAAUAAUGAAAUGAGAGGUGCUACCACAUUUUUUUUCUUCUUCUUGUCAUACAAGAAAGGUACAUAUAGUGUUUGCAAAUAGUACAAACAAUAAAAAGACAAUGGGAAACCAUAACAAAGUGCCUUUGAAAAUAUAGAAAAAGGAGAAAAAGAAAACGUAAACAAUGUCAAAUAAGCACAUAGGUUUUUCACAUGAGAUGAAAACUGACCUUCAUUUUCAUCUGCAAAAUCAAAAUCCAACGUUCUUCUCACAGAUUUGAAGAAAUUACUCACAGGCCCGCCAGGUAUAUCAUCCAAAGAAGCAAUAGUUACACCACCAAUCUAAAAUAAAAAAGAUAUCUUUAAAAUAUGAAAAUUUCUAUUGCGAUACUGUAUCAAAAAUGGAAAAAAAACAUUUAACUACUGUAUCAUAUGUAACUGAAAAGAAAAUAAUCAAAAACUGAUAAUCCACUGUCACAUCAAUUGAACAUGAUGAUUGUUACUCUGAAAGGAAAUCAUACUGUUUCAAGAGCUGUCCGAAAUAACUGAGAAGCCCGGCGCUUUUCUGGCUGAUCAGGAAACACCUAAAUCUCAAUCAACAAAAGAAUAAAAAUGCCAACGAGGACGAGUUACUUAUCAUUAUGAAAUAUAGUAAUAUUCAGUUAUUUGUGAUAAUUAUGUUUAUGUCACAUGACUAAAAGAAUCAUAAUCUGUUGUGAUGUUCAUCGGCCAUUUACUUUUUCAUGCUUUUACAUAAGGCAACAAUAGUUAUUUUUGUCCAUACAAAAUAAAAAUAAAAAGCUUUCCACUUACAAUGCAAGACCUGAUUCCUUUCAUCUCUUGCAAGUUCCUUACUAUUGCAAGGGCCAGCUGGAUAUUAGCAUCAAUAAAUUCAUCUGAAGAACCCUGCAGUAAAUAGGAAGCAUAAAAAAUCGAAUUCUACAGUUGUUUUUUAUUUUAUGCCUAUAUUUUUACCAAGCAUAAUAUGAAGCUUUCACUGAUUAAUUUCAUCAAUGAUAUGAGAGAGCAUCUCUUAACAAUGUUAAGUACUCAUAAUAAAAAACUUCUUGAUUAGAAGAAUUUGUUCAAGUUAAUUUACCUUAAGAAUAUUGAAGGUUGUAACUAGGUAUUUUCGAGAUUACAAGCAAUGGAGGUAACCAGUGUGUAGCAUUAAUGAAUAAAAAUUAUUCAACUGGGAAACAUCCAAGAUGUUACACAUUGGGUUUUUGAACAUAUGCGUCCAUGCUACAAUGUCUACCUUGUGAGAUUACCACCAUAGCGAGUGCCAAGUGAAGAGAAAAUCCAUUUACACUAGUAAAAUUUAACAUUAGUUAAUUGUGGUUUCAGCCAUCAGAUUCCCAACAUCUAUUUAGCUAAAUAAACAUUGAUACUAAAGAUCAUGAAUAAAUUAUAAAGAAUCAUAGGUACCUUGUAAGAAGAUAUAUUGCUUGGUAAGGGCCUGCAUACACAUCCAAUUAAAACAUGAAAACGGAGAAAAAAAUUUAAAAAGCAAAGAUCAGAAGAAAUAAAAAUGACAAAAAUCUCGAGAAAAAACAUUCUCUGCUGUGAAAAAGCAUUAAAAAUAAACAAAAAUCCAGAUUGAAGGAAAGAUAGAACCUUUAAUCAAUUAGCAUUAAAAGAAAAGCUUCUACUCCAUGUAUAGCUCCAUUAUAGUUCAAACAAAUCAAAGAACGAUUCACAGAAUUUUCUUCUAUAAACCAAUCAUUAAGCUAAAGGUCAAUCCAAGCAACAUUUACAAGGCGAAAGAGAACUGAAACUAACAAUAAAUUGAUCCAAAUGCUGUCAAAACGCAAAAAAAAAAAAAAAGGAGAAAAGGAUAGAGAUGAGGAAUUAGGGCUAAUCAAAGUAUAGCCCCAUUAUAGUUCAAAUCAAAGUACGAUUCACAAAUAUUUUCUUCUAUAAACCAAUCAUUAAGCUUAAAGGCCAAUCCAAGCAACAUUUACAAGGUGAAAGAGAACCGAAACUAAUAAUAAAUUGCUCCAAAUGCAAACAAAACGCAAAAAGUUAGGAGAAAUGGAUAGAGAUGAGGAAUUAGGGCUAACGGGAACUCGAUCUCGAGACGCGUCUUCCCAUCGUCGAGGGCGUAGACGAGGGACCGCGCCGCGUCGGCGACGAGGACCUCGUACGACCGGGGCUUGUACACGGCAACCCCGGCCCUGGGGUCGAUCCCGAAGGAGGCGCCAUCUGAGCGCUUCGCGAGUGGCUUCAACGGCGGAGCGCGGAGCGGGCGCGAGGGACGGGGAGGAGAAGGGCGGAGGAGCGGGGAUCGGUGGAUAUGGAGGAGGAGAGGUGGAGUGCGAAGGAGGUGAGCGGAGGAGCGAGAGGAGGAUGGGGGAGCGGAGGAGAAGGACGAGGAGGAGAGCGAAGAGGACGCCAUUGGCGAAGGAGAGAAGAGGACGAGGGUAAAGGGAUAAGCGUUCGACGAAGAUGAACCGUUGGAAAGGGCAUGUGCGACGGAGCGGGAAAAUGGGCGGUCCGGUUCGACCGGGUUCAGUUUCCUCCGGUCCGGUCCGGUCCGGUCUAUUGGGUUAGCAACUUAGCAUUUCUCUUUCUCAUCAAAUUUCACCUCAUACCACCCUACACAAUGCUGAGAACAAAAAGAGUCACAAAUGAGGAUCUUUGGCAAGCACAUAUUCCCUAGACAGAUACUGCUUUUGGGUUCUGGGUAUCUUACAUUCCUCUCCAUUCAUACUCUACUAUGUUGUGCUACACCUUAAUCAUAUUCAGAGUACUCUUUUAUCUUCAAACAAUCCUCUUAUUCUUCGCCGUUUGUCGUCGAAAACACGCAGGCUCGUCUUCUUAGGAGCCACCACAUACGACGUGCACUGCUCCAUCAAGAACAACGAGAAUCCCCCCACGAAGGAACAAAUUGAAGCGCUCGAGGAUUACCUCCGAUCCAAGAGGCCCCCUCCCCCUCCCGCCUGAAUCAUUAGCCAUGUAAAGUCCUCUACUUGAUGUCGAAUCUUUUCGCUAUCUGCUUAAAUAAGUGUUUUUACGUGUGAAUGUGAAUGCUCAUGACAAGUGUUUGAUGAUAUUCCUCAGUGAACCUCCUUACUGAUCUGGAGCUCACAUUGUUGUAUUGUGGUCUAGUAGUUAUAAUUUUUAGGAUAAUAGCAUUCAAUCUACAAAUGAUUGGGCAUAUCAUUGUAGGUAUCUAAUCAUUCUCCGUCUACCAACUGCUGCAAGAUUCUCGAGUAAACAAAAGAGCUUCGCAAUGGAUGAUGUCUAAGCAUCCGAACAGACAUUAAGAGUUUAAAAUCCAUUUGAACAAUCUAAAUGGCUAUUUGAGAUAGGGAACUUAGCGAUGAAGUUUUACAAAAUGGCAUGUACCUUGGAAUAGUGUUUCGCUGCCUUGCGAAGAAGUUAAUAUCUGAAUUUGAAUAGGAGAGAAACUUUUCCUCGAUUAGCUUCCCUGUAAUUUAUCUUGAAACUAAGCAAACCAUACCAAAGUUUCAUAAUUACCUUAUCCCACACAAAUCGUUUAUGUGUAACUAUUCUAUAUCCUUACGAAAAAACCAAUCAAGGGUUUCUGGGGUCGAAUCCAGAGAAAAGGCGGUUCUAAGAAAAUUCUUACAAAAAGGAUUAAAUCCAGAUAUAACGGACUGAGUUGAUCAUUAUCAUGAUCAACUGAGCCUCCAAAUAACACCCAACUGAGGCUCUGAAUACUUCCUAAUUUUAUGUAGAAAUGAUCAAGUUAUACAUCGUUACAUGGAUAUAUAGAGAGGAACUAAAUGUGAGAAAUAAAUCAUGUGAUGUAGCGGUGAUUUAGCACAAGAUCGCAUACCAAAAAAGUUAACGAAGUCAUAUUCCCUGUGGACCAUGUUACACUUGUUCCUUCUCACUCACUAGUUAUAAUACCCCUACUAAGCUACCGGAUUUGCUCAAUUCCACUACUAUAUCUUGUCACCUAUCCAUUGAGAAACAAAGCUUUAUACGUCACUGAUACAUGGCUGUACAGUGGAAAUGGAAAUUCUCUGCUCUAACUCAGGCUUUUCGAUAAGCUCGACUCCUUCACAGAAUAAGGUGGAAUUAGUGACCUCCCAUAUGCUAUAGGUAGCGCCAUUAACUUCUUUGCUUUGCUAACAUACGCCCUCUUUGUGAAGUUAUUGUAGUCAUUUGCCUCAAUCUCGUCAAGGAUCUGCCGAUAAAGUAAGAGAGAAGCCCACACCUGCAACACAGCAUGCAGUAGCCCUGAAAGAUUAGCUCAUAAAACUUAUUAGAUUUUGCUAACUAAGAAUCUGUGGCAUAAUAUGAUCGGCACGGUGAUCCUUUAUAUUAUCUAAGAAUUCUUUGGAGAAAACCAUGAAUUCAUCUCAUUCUUUAGAAAGCAUGCUUCACAACUUCAUCUGUUACUGUCACUUUUGCUCUCCUUUAUCUCUAUAGCUUCUUCCAAUGAUUAGCUUGCUAUGAUUUCCGCUGUUCCUUUCAAAUCUCUGGACAUUCUAAUUUUAUCAAGCUUUCAUACUAGAAUUAUUCUUUUAUUCUCGUGCGUGUGUGGCACUUGUUUAGAGCUUCUUUAUCUAACCUGCAAAUUAGAUUACUGAUGUAGAUUUUCUAAGUGCAUUAGACCAUAUCUGUGUUAACAGACAAUAAGAAUUAAAAAUAACUCACGAAUGUGGCGUUAUUAUGUCAUAUUCAAUGAAAUUGUAAAAACUGAAUUUUCUAUUAGAUUUAGGUGAAGCUCUACUGUCUAUGAAAAUGCAUAACGGUAUCAAUCUAAGAUAAAAGAAAAGAGUAUUGAGACUUACUGGCCACCUACUAGCUUGACUGAGCUCAGUAACGCCUUUCUCUGCUUCUUGGAAGAACAUCCUGGCUCUCUCAAUUUGGCUUCUCAUGAAGCCCCUCCAUUUAUCGUUCACCCUUCCAUUGAAGAUAUCCUCGUCCGAAAGCCCAUACUGUGCGAGCUCGUCUUGCGGCAGAUAGAUCCUACCUCUUCUCGCACUGAGAAAUCAAAGUUUAGGGACUCGAUUGCCAGAAAAAGAAAUCCUCGAGGAACUUUACAUAAAGGAGAUGCCUUAUGAAGUUUUUCACUUACUCUUCUCCAACAUCCCUUAAUAUGUUGGUGAGUUGAUUCGCGAUGCCUAACGCCAGAGCUGCGUUGUAGACGCUCUCUGUCGUAGCUUUAGACUCUGGUGCGAUACCCAUCACAGGAACACUCACUAGCCCCACCGUUCCUGCUACGUAAUAGCAGUAGAGAUAGAGCUCGUCAAAAUUUUUGUAUCUUGACUUCUUAAGGUCCAUUCGCAUCCCUUGGAUCAUGUCCUUGAAUGGCUGAGAUUGCAACGGAAACCAAUCUAUGAAUGAAAAAGCUAUGAACAAAGAUGAAAGGCCCCAUGCUAUAAGUCGUCUGGAAACAGAUCCUUGAUGUUUAUUCAUUUUGGAUUUGAAACCUUCAAAGAUUUAGAACUUAAAAGGAAUGAUCUGUAAUUAUCUUUCUUGCUGUAACCUUUAAAUUCUGAUGCAACCUGAAGGAAUUUUCUGAAAUUGAACAACACAAGUUUAAAGUUCAAAUCCAACAAAAAAUACUUCACAGAUCUGUUUUCAAAUGACAGAUGGUUAGGCCAGUGUCUAUACAUUUUUGCCGAAGUUAUGAGUACUCUUAAGAUUAGGAAAUGUGCCUGAAUAUCAACAGGGAACUUCACAACAGUAUCUGAGAGAGCAGCAUCGAGCAUGUCGUAAGGACGGCCUGUGAACAGAUCCUCCAAGCGCGACUCCCAUCGAUCGAGAGCUGAGGGCGUGAUGUGAGAGGCAUUAGGCCCGUCAACAAGUUCAUCUGUUCUCCUGCACCACACUGGAUACAUGAUCCACUUUAGAUCUUCGAAAUUACAAUUGAAGAACCUUUUUCUAAAGGUAUCAAACUAUUGGAUUGGAUGCUAGUAUGUUACCACAAAAUCAUGAUUAAGAAAUGCGGCACAUGAAUUUGAUCAUCACAUGGAAGGUACCAAAAUUAUCUGACACGUGAUUUAUGCGGUGAAGUAUUAAAGUGACUUGAUGAUCUUUUUAAGUUUCUUGUGUAAUAAGUUAUAUAUUGAUUUUAUGCUUAGGACAAUUAUUGUUUAACCAUUAGACAUAAACAAAGUUGAGUGUGUGUCUUCAGCUAUGGGAAAUCAAUCAUUAAACAAAACUAGACAAACAGCGACUUCGUUUUAAAAUUGAUGGUUUCUGCAGAAAAAUGUAUCAGAAACUAAGUAAAAUAUUAAAAUCAAAGAGAGAGUAAUUAAUCUAUCAAGUAUUGUGGUAAUGUACCGUAAAUCGCCCAAAUUGCUUGCCGCCUUUCAUGGGUCAUAAGAAGUGUUCCUGAAAUAAGAUAAAUUCUAGCUCAAUUAUACAUUCUAAAUUUAAAUUUCUCUAUUAAGGUGAAUAACUAUAAGUUGGACUUUGAACUAACCCAAGUAGAAGGUCUUAGCAUACUCUGCGCAUACUUCCCCGCACCGAUCAUAGGCUUCCUUCAAUACAUUCGUCGAGUCAGAAAUGGACAACUCCAGUUUCACAUCGAGCUCGGGCCUCAAUCCCCUAUUCACCAACGCGGCCUGUUUGAGCACCACAUCAUACACCUUCUGCUCCGAGGAAGUUGCGACCUCUCCUACCUGGUUUGCGACUAAACUCGAAUAUACCUGGAAAUUUCGCCUAUCCUCUAGCUUGAAACCCCCAGAGGAGUGCUUGGAGUGAGCAUGCAUUGAGCACAAAUUCCAUUUAGGCUUCUUUCUGUGAAUCUUCUUAUUGUAUCUUGGACCAUAAAGUUUAGCGGAAUUAUCCGACAGAUAAAAACCUUCUCGAAUCGCCUCUGAGAGUCCGAGGACAGUAGCCAUUGAAGGAGGAUUCAGGAGCACGAAAACGACCUUCGAGCUUCUCGAGGGAUCUUCUAAUUGGAUUCAGAAAGGCUUGUAACAGCAAAUUGAAUCCUGGUUUGUGUGGGAUCACUGCAAGAUUCCAAAUUAUUCUUCAAUGAAUCUCAUCAUGAUAAACUUCUUUUACCCAUGUAACAACAUAGUCAUUAUUGAAAAUUUAGCACUGUACACAGCAGAAGUAUAGAGAAAGCAACAUACUGGAAAAAGAAGACCCAAAAUGAGAACAAAUCAAAGUUUAAAGAGAUGCUCUCUUUUCAUAAUUUAACAACUAAUAGAACCCAAAUAUAGGUAUAUAUUAUAUUUUAAAGGUGCACCCAUGUACUGAAGAUGGGUGGGGAGGAUAUGUUUCAGGGGCACUAACCUCUUACCAUUUCUCCAUCAUUCUGUGAAACAUGUAAGCAACAGCAAAAACUCCAAAGCUCUUCAAUACAUUAAUGUCACAAAGAGAGAGAGAGAGAGAGAGAGAGAGAGAGAGAGAGAGAGAGAGAGGGAGCUCUUGAAGACAAAAACUUAGCCUUCCUGACUCUCUCUCCUCUGCUCUCUGAGUGCUCUUUCUGCUCUCUCCUUGGUGGGUGGUGAGAAAGAAGUUAUUGCCUGCACUAAGUAUCCUACAUCUCAUUAAUCAUACUCAGUAUUUGAUAAUUAAUAGGUUAAAAUAAAGGAAAAACUUCAAAUACCUCCUUGGGGUUUCACUCUUUUUCACUUUAGUAUCCUGUGGUUUAAAGUGUAUUAAGUUAGUAUCAUGUGGUUUCGCACUUUCUCACUUUAGUAUCCUAUGAUUUAAAGUGUAUCAAGUUCGCACUUUCUCACUUUAGUACCAUGUGGUUUCAUAUUUCAUUAAGAGAAAAAUAAAAUCACAGGGUAUUAACUUGAUACAAAAAUAAAACCACAGAGUACUAACUUGAUACAUUUUAAACCACAGGGUACUAAAGUGAGAAAGUACGAAACCACAGGGUACUAACUUGAUACACUUUGACCCACAGAGUACUAAAAUGAAAAAAUACGAAACCACAGGAGGGUUUGGAAGUUUUUCCUAAAAUAAAACUACUGCCACUGAGUAGAUCAGUUAGUUAAUGCCCUCAACACUGAGAGUUAGGUUUUCGGCUCAAAUCUUAGCAAGUUCGUGUAUUGUGCAUGCAUAUGCGUAGGCAUGCGACCAUCUUCAAAGAGUCUUAAAAUUAAAGAUUCGACCCCCCCCCCCCAUGUGAGCUAGAAUUUGGAGCUCAUGUCUCUGAAUUUGUAUUAUAGUAUCUUAGAGGUUUCUAUGGAAUAAGAAAAGGAAUUUAAAAUCAAUUAAAUUAGUUCUUUUAAUUAUUCUUGGAUUAAAUAAAAUUUCUCAGACAAUUUAGGAAAGGGAUGAAAUAGUCUAUUCGUUAAAAAAAAAUUUCAGUAGGUGAGGAUGUUUCAAAACUAAAUUACGCGAAUAAUUUAAAAAAAACACAGGAAGUAAUUUGCAAUAUCAGGAUAAUACAGGAACUAUACCUACAUUUUACUUUAGGAAAAUAAGUUGCCAAGUUAUUUAAUUAGUGUUUUAGGAGUGCGGUGCAUGGUGCACCGGGCGCAUGCAAUAAUAAGGGAAAAGAGGGGCCGGGGAGGCUUGAGGAUUGAGAUGUGUGGACACGUGGAGGGGCCGGGUCCAAUUGGGAUGGAGAUAGGGUUAUCACAUGGAGACAACCAAUACCGUUUCGCCACGUGGCAGGAGAAUCCGAGUGGGGGGCGGUGGCGGGUGUCGACGUGUCACUGGGGAGGAGCGUGGGUCCCACGAAAAGGUCCCCAAUUCCAGUGCCUCACACGGGCCGUGGUGGGGACCGCAUAAUGCGACCGCACCUCUCUCUCUCUUUCUCACCCCACAAAACACGGUAAGGCUAAUAUAAUAAUUUUAUAUUAAAAUUUGUACUUUUUAAACAAAAUUAUUUUAACAAGUUAUAAAGUAUGUGAUUAGACUAGUUGAGUGUACUUGUAAAUGUAUUUACACGUAACAAUUAUUUUAAUUUAUUUUAAAUUAAUAUAAAUUUGUAUAUUAUACUUUUUAAAAAUUUAUAAUAAAAAUUAUAUUUUAUAAAUUCAUACAUUAUAUUUUAUUAGAAAAUAUUUGUAAUAUUCCAUAUUUUUUAUAAAUAUAUUAAAUAUUUUUUAUAUAUUUUUCGAUUUCUAAUGAUCUAAAAUUUAAGUAUGUGUUUUAAAAAAAAAAACAUCAAAAUUUAAUUCAUAUUUAUUUUAAAAUUUAAAAUUUAGUUUUGAUCCACUAUAAUUAAAAUAUUUUAUAUUGUAUAAAUUCAUACGUUAUAUUUUGUCAAACUUUAAUUCAUGUUUAUUUCAAAAUUUAAAAUUUAAUUUUGAUCCACUAUAAUUAAUUUUUUUUAAUUAUUAACUCAAAUUUGAUAUCAAAAAUUAAAUUUAAUUCAUGAUUUUAAAUUCAAAUUUAAAUUUUAAUGUAAAACAGAUGAAUAGGAAUGUUAUUUUAUAACAGAUUGUCGUUCAUUUUUAUUUGAAAUAUUUUUAACAAAUUGAUCAUAACUGUUCGUGGGAUUAGAUUUAUAAAUGGAUAUAAAUGCUAUUUUUUGACAGAUUAAUCAUAACCGUUUGUUUGUUUUUAUUUGAGAUAUUUGUGACACAGCGGCCCCCUUUUUUCCUUUCUUUUUUUUAUUAUUUUUUUUGUUAUUAUUAUAAGAUGUUUUUGUUCGGCUUAUAGCAGGAUUCGAAGUCGAUAUUUAUUUAUUUAUUUAUUUAUUUUUGCAUGGAGUAUCUAUCUGAAACGAGAUGCAUCAGGAUUGUUGGGUGAUUGGCUGAUCCAACGGCCCUUAAUUAUUAGCAGUUCUCUUCUUAUUCGAUACGGUGCAAAAAUAAAAACUCUCAAACUGGUAACAAUGAAUUAUUUAUCAUUAAACUUGAUAAAAUCAUUAAUUCAUUUAAUAGAAGUAACUUAAGUAAUAAUCAUUAAAAGUUAAAAGAGAAGUGAAUAUAAAAAAUAAAGAUUAAAGAAAGUAGUUUUUUUUUUUUUUUUUAACUUAAUAGCUUGAGCUUUUACAGGGGAAAAAGUAUUUGUUUCUAUGUUAGGAAUGUGAAGUAAAGUAACACCUAAUUAUUCUAUAUCCCAUUAGCCCUUUAAUGGACUUCAAAACAUUAGUGGGAACAAAAAGUCAACUCCUAAUUCAUAGCUUGUUAUUUCUUUUUUGUGUUAUCCUAGAUUGCUUCUUCCUAGUGAUGGUUACAAUAAUGCAUGAUUGCAUAUAGGUGGCAAAAGAUAAGUGUAAAAAUACUAAAAUAGCAAUGCACUUUUAUUGUAUUAGAUUCUUUUUACCUGAGUGCUUGCCUUUUCUAGUAGCUACAUUAGUGUAUAGCACUUUUCCUACACUUAUCCACAAUAAGAAAUGACUACUUUUUUUAGGUAGUAGAAAUUAACCAUUUUGACUAACAUAAGUGCUUCUCCUUUUAUCUUUAGAUAAUUUUUCUUUUGCUUAGUUACUAAAUGUACUCAUUUCAUGUAGAAUUAUAUUAUUUCCUUUCGAAAUAUGUUAAAUGAGUAUGAUUCGAUACACAAAUAAUAAUAUUCGAACACGAAACUUCUUGUAGAUAGCAUUGUGGUGCAUGACACAAUAAUGUAAACAAAUAUUGCUGCAGCUUUAUUUUUUUACAUUGCAGCAACAUUACAAUCACAAACAACAUGUACAUGACACUGGUAAAGAAAAAAAAAAUGAAAAGAAAGAGAAAAGAUCAUCUCAACUAUUAUAAAUCAGCCAAUAAUCAAUCUUGAUGCAAUAAUCUCGGCUCAUGAAUCAGAUCCAAUCUCUUUUUUCUCUCCUUCAAGAUUCACCAACUGCUGCUUCGGGGAUUGGCAGCUUUGGCGUGAGAAAGUCCGUCAACACCCUGUAGAUCAUUUUACAGUUGUAAAAGAUUUUUUUCGUAUAUAUAUAUAUGCCCGUCAAAAUGCGCAUAUUUUCUUCUUUUGUAUUUUUUGGUCUCCUUACCUCUGCAGUCGCGACUGCGUGCGUCUGCAGCAGUGAAACAGUGAACUUCAGUUAGUUACGUCCCCUUGGUUUCUUCAGUAUAUUGCGAAAGAGUGGGCACACUUGCCUUUGCUUUGGCGGUACUUUUGGAGUGAUACUUAUCGUGCCGUUCUGGCUCACGGUUGGUGCCUGUGGUAUUUGAUCGCUCACCGUAGGCACUGUUUUCGCCUGAAAAAGUGUUACAGUUUAGUCACGGUGUUGAUUAAUUAUAUGUCAGCAUUACUUAAUGGAUGGUAAAUUGCUCGAAAACCCCACCAAUUUUCUGAACUGGAGGUUGUAGAACAGCUGGAGAUAGCGCUGCUUCGCGAACUUCUCCUCCUUGUUCAGCUGCCUCCAGAAGCCGUAAAUUGAUCCCAUAUUUAGCACUCUUGUGGCAUAGAUCUUCCAUGUAUAGCUGCGACCGUAAAUAAAUAGCUCGUCAGGAAACUUUUAGUCCUUCAAGUUCAACCCCAGCUUCAAUUAUGUCGUCAGAAUUUCAGAAUUUCAAAUUGUGCUGUUGUUUGAUUCGGAUAUAAAUUGCUUGGAUCGAGGGACUUAACCCAAAAUGAAAUGAUAGAAGUGGAUUCAUCGGUCUCAAUCUUUUACCAUUCAUAGAUACGUUGCAGCCCGGCAGUGGAAAUCUUGUUCCAGUAACUUGGAUCAUCCCUGCACUUAGUAAAGAAAUCGGCAAUCUUAUUGCUCGUCUCAUCCCCGUUGUACGGAUCGAUGUGGAAACCGGAGACCCCGUCCACGAUUAUCUCAGCUGGCCCUCCUUUGUUUGUUGCAAAUGUCGGGAGGCCGCAAUUCAUCGCUUCAAUCACGGUUAGCCCGAAUGCUUCAUACAAUGCAGGCUACGACGAAAAUUACACAAUUUAGUCCCUUUCAGUAGGUUAUUUGAUAAACAAUGAAAUACUAAAGACUUAGUGUUAGAAAAAAUUGAACUCCUAACCUGAACAAAUGCUCCCUUAGUGUCAGCGAUACAUCGGUACAGCUCGCCGUUCCGAGCCCGAUCAGUUUGCGCGGCUAUCCAGCGAAUCUGACCCGCUAGUUGGUACGUUUCGAUCAACGAGUGCAUCUUUUUUAUUUCCAUGAUCUCCUCCCUGUCCUUCGAUUUUUCCGGGUCCAAAAGGCCGGCCACCACCACAAGGUUCGCUAGGUCCCUUAGCCGCUUGUUCUUCCCGUACCAUUCUACCAAUCCGGAGAUGUUCUUCACAACGUCGAGCCGCGCCAUCGAGAAGAUGAUCGGCUUAUUCUUAUCUUCUAGGUACCCUCUGCAUGAAAUGCAGAUUUCGAUAUCUUUCAGGAGGGGUUUCUACAUUUAAAUCCUAAAGAGAUGUGCAAAUGAAGGAUAGUUUGAGGCCCUACAUGUGUUCGUCAUUGUCAACUUUGCUGUAUAAGAGCUCCUCGAUGGCGGGGUGGAAUUGCGUGAGGCGCUUCUGCUUCUGUGUGAAGGGGAAGUAGACCGUUUGAUCGGCUCCUGGAGAAGCUAUGUUGAACUUUGGGUCGAAAACGUUGAUGCCCGUCGCGUAGCGGCAUAGGCCUGGCAUUGUGAAUGCAUAGUGGCUCUCAUAUUGACCAACCUUAUCCUUACUGCAAGUUUCGAGAUAUCAAAUUAGUACCUAAGAAUAUGGUGGCUUUCCUAAGAAGCACAUAAAAAUUUGUUACUAGUAUUGACCUUCCGGCGAUUUCUUGGUAUGUGCUCGUGAUAAUGAAAUCGCUGGUAUUCAUCGCGAUCAUAUCGGCUGUGAAUUGGCACGAGAAAUGGUACUUGUGAUCCAAUUCCUUCCAAUGAACAUCAGAAUCUCCGUACUUGGUCUUUUCGAGAGCGUGCGCGAUUGUUCCCUUGUUGUUUAGAUUGUUUUAGAACACAAUUAGAUUGCGUUUAUAGCAGAAUAAAACAAUUUACUGGCGUAUAAAAAUUUGAACUACCUGAGUGAUUCCUAGUUUCGAUGAGAUUAGAGACGCGACCAAAUUUCCGUCGGUGUAAUUUCCGAUGAUCAAAUCCGGUUUCCCCUCCAAGUAAUCAAUAAUUUUAGCAGCAGCUUCCUGUAAUUCAUCAGAAAUCAUUUACUCAGAACAACAACACAUAUAUACCCCUAAAACUAUUUGUUUCUGCAUAUCCACUUUACAAUCUUAGUUUCCUGCAUAUAAAUAUCUGUGUUGUGUCGAAAAUGGUCCCUCUUUGAAAAUCCUUAUAUGAUAAAAUACUAAAGAUACUUCUGCGAUUUUACAGAGGUAUGCAUAUUCAGAAAGGUGAUUUUCGCAGAAAAGUCGCAUAAAAUUCAAACUGAGUCACACACAUACCUCCGCAUAUCUCUCGAGAUAGGGGUAGAUAUCAAAUCGCGAGACCCACUGGUUGAGAAUUCUGUUCUCCGUCCGAAACGGCACGCGGAGGAUGUGCGAGUGCUUCGUGUCGUGCACCGGCUCGAGCUCUUGGUCGCAUUUCGUCCCCUUGGCUUCCGGUAUCAGCCUUGUUAACUGUAUCAACAACAAAGCAUUAAGAUGUUAUUCUCUCCAUUUAUUCAAAACUUUAGUUUCAUAUUGUUUCAGUAAAAUAUCGAGGACGAAAACUUUACCACAAGAAUCUGGGGAGUUAUAUUCAGGCCCUGUUGUUUGAUUCUGAGGAGCAAUUCCUCUUCAAAGGCUUUUACUUGGUCUAGAAUGUAAACAACCUGUUCAGAGGGAAAAAGAAAAAUCAAAUUGCUUCAAAUGUACCCCUGCAGAAUUAUCUAUUUAUACAUAAAAUUCAUGUAAAGUUUGAAUUAUCAAGCAUGCCUCUUAAAAUUAUAAAUAUAUGGUUCUUGCAAUUUUUGUUGGAUUUUUAGUACCUGGCCGCCAGUGUCGGGCAAUCCGAGCACGUCUUCUUGCCCAAAGUAGCCGUGCACGGAGAAUACGACAAUAUUGAAAAUGUUAGGGACUCUACUGAAAAAUUUCUCCAUAUUUGCAGGGUCUGGUGCCUGAAGCACUUCUGAUAAGCAGUUCAGUGUCUCCUUAACUGUUUCUGCAUUAUCCCCCCAUCCUUUCUCCAAACCCCACUCCUGAAACCUGCCACCAAAAAUAUAUAUAAAAAAAAAAUUCAGUACAGUUUUCAUUUUAGUUGCUAAUUUUGAUGUCUUUUUUGUUGAUCAAAACCUUUGUUCGAAUCGCUGGAACGGUGUGUUCUUCGGAAGCCCGCUGACGAACACUUCUGACAGAAGCAGCACAGUUUGGAGCUUGUUUACGGUGUCGAUGGCAUUAUUUAUCAUCAGUUUCUGAGAAUGAAUUCACAAGAAGAAAAAAAAAAAAAAAGAGAGAGGAGUUUUUAGUUGUAAGAUUCUCCUGAACAAAUUGGAUAUGAUAAGUUAAUCCAAAUCAGUUACUUCUCCGCGGUGAUUGAGCGCGAGUAAGUAGUCCAGAAGCGGUUUCAUGCUCUCGGACUUGUCGCCCAGUUUCGAAGAUAAGAAUCUCGACACGAACUGCAUUCCAUUCCCUACGGAUGAAGGCAGUGCUAGGAGAGGGGUUGAUAGAUUGAAAGCCCCGAAGUCGAUUUCCAACGCAUUCUCGUCCUUCGCCCUGCGAUUUUCACAUGUUCACAAGUAUGAAUUUUCGACCUUUUUUUACAGAUCAAACCGCAAAGGUAAAAUCAUUUUAUCACCAUAACUUCAUACCAUUUCUCAUCAAACAAAGUUUCUUUGUACUUUAGGUACUCUGAUGGCGUGAUUCCCUCGACCGAGAGAUCAUUGGAAUGCACCUUAACAUACUCCCAGAUUCCGGGCUGAGGCCUCACUGCAAAGGCUACAUAUGGAGGAAGGACUACUGCUUCCUGUCACAUUAUAACAGAGUGUUUAAGUUUAAAUUUAAACUCAUACAACUUUUUUUUGUUUGAUGAAAAAUAGGUGAUAUGAGGAGUUUUGAGUUCUAAAACCUGUGUGGAGCUAAUGAUGUAGCCAAGAAAACCUUCCAUGAGCUUCGCUUUCUCGAGUUCGUUGUCCACCGAUUUGUCGAGCUCGUCCAUCAGAUGUUGGUUCUUCAUAUACCUCUUACCCUUCGAGACAUACCUGAAGUUCGAUAACAAAGAUGGGAAUGUGAAGCAAUGGAUUUUCUCGAAAAGCUUAGGCUAUCAGAGAACGUCAGAAAGUUAAAUGAGAGAAUCAUAGUAUGAACUAAAAAAACUAUUCAUUUUUCACUCAUGUCACAUGUCUCAUUCGUUGAUGUCAUACGAAACAAUCGUUUUUUCCAAUGACUCUUUAAUGAGGAUGUCCUACGUAGGACGCGCGCUAUAUUACAUAUAAUAUUUUCUUUUUUUUGUUUUUUUUUUCUUUUAAUGCAUGUUCAGUUUUGCGAUUGUAACAAAACACAACACCUGGAGAAGAUCUUCUUCAUCUGAUACCGGCUCUGCCGCAGCGCUUCGGGCAUGCUGUCUGCAAUGCUAUCCGAUCUGCUGAAGCUAAGCGCGGCGGCCAUGGUCGGAAUAAACUGAACUAAUUUGAUCUGGAAAUGCAGCAAUGCAAAAGGAAAAAGGGAAACUAUAUGUGACUUGGGUUUAUUGCACCACAGGAGAGGUAGGUAUUUAUAGGACAAGGAUAUGGUCAUGUUAGUUGGAAUAAGUGUGGGGAUAAGAGUUGGAAUAAGUGGUUUGGUGGGGAAAGGUAAUGUUGUGAGAGGAGAAAGCACAUUGCUUUGAGGAAGUU